RNAcentral lists this ribosomal RNA (447 nucleotides) under uncultured bacterium. RNAcentral's name for it is "bacterial SSU rRNA". It matches the Rfam family "Bacterial small subunit ribosomal RNA", at positions 330 to 794 of the family's 1533-position model. The record is from RNAcentral.
ACCAGACUCCUACGGGAGGCAGCAGUGGGGGAUAUUGCACAAUGGGGGGAACCCUGAUGCAGCGACGCCGCGUGGGUGAAGAAGCGCCUCGGCGCGUAAAGCCCUGUCAGCAGGGAAGAAAAUGACGGUACCUGAAGAAGAAGCCCCGGCUAACUACGUGCCAGCAGCCGCGGUAAUACGUAGGGGGCAAGCGUUAUCCGGAUUUACUGGGUGUAAAGGGGGCGCAGACGGCGAUGCAAGCCAGGAGUGAAAGCCCGGGGCCCAACCCCGGGACUGCUCUUGGAACUGCGUGGCUGGAGUGCAGGAGGGGCAGGCGGAAUUCCUGGUGUAGCGGUGAAAUGCGUAGAUAUCAGGAGGAACACCGGUGGCGAAGGCGGCCUGCUGGACUGCAACUGACGUUGAGGCCCGAAAGCGUGGGGAGCAAACAGGAUUAGAUACCCCCGUAAU